GAGUUUGAUUCUGGCUCAGGAUGAACGCUGGCGGCGUGCCUAACACAUGCAAGUCGAGCGAGAAUCUUGGAAGUGGAGACUUCGGUUGAAGCGACUAAGAGGAAAGCGGCGGACGGGUGAGUAACGCGUGGGCAACCUGCCUCUUACUAGAGGAUAGCCACCGGAAACGGUGAUUAAUACUGUAUGAAGUGCAUUUAUCGCAUGAUAGAUGUCCCAAAGAUUUAUCGGUAAGAGAUGGGCCCGCGUCUGAUUAGCUAGUUGGUAAGGUAACGGCUUACCAAGGCGACGAUCAGUAGCCGACCUGAGAGGGUGAACGGCCACACUGGAACUGAGACACGGUCCAGACUCCUACGGGAGGCAGCAGUGGGGAAUAUUCGGCAAUGGGGGGAANCCCUGACCGAGCAACGCCGCGUGAGUGAUUGAAGGUCUUCGGACUGUAAAACUUCUGUUGAAUGGGAAGAUAAUGACGUACCUUNGAG
RNAcentral lists this ribosomal RNA (479 nucleotides) under Peptostreptococcaceae bacterium canine oral taxon 104. RNAcentral describes it as "bacterial SSU rRNA". It matches the Rfam family "Bacterial small subunit ribosomal RNA", at positions 9 to 465 of the family's 1533-position model. Lineage: Bacteria; Bacillati; Bacillota; Clostridia; Peptostreptococcales; Peptostreptococcaceae. The record is from RNAcentral.